CGCGGCCUAUCAGCUUGUUGGUGAGGUAACGGCUCACCAAGGCGACGACGGGUAGCUGGUCUGAGAGGAUGUCCAGCCACACUGGGACUGAGACACGGCCCAGACUCCUACGGGAGGCAGCAGUUAGGAAUCUUGCGCAAUGGACGAAAGUCUGACGCAGCGACGCCGCGUGCGGGAUGAAGGCCCUCGGGUUGUAAACCGCUUUCAGCAGGGACGAAAUUGACGGUACCUGCAGAAGAAGCCCCGGCCAACUACGUGCCAGCAGCCGCGGUAAUACGUAGGGGGCAAGCGUUGUCCGGAUUUAUUGGGCGUAAAGAGCUCGUAGGUGGUUCGGUAAGUCGGAUGUGAAAUCUCCAGGCUCAACCUGGAGGGGUCAUUCGAUACUGCCGUGACUAGAGGUCGGUAGGGGAGUGUGGAAUUCCUGGUGGAGCGGUGAAAUGCGCAGAUAUCAGGAGGAACACCCGUAGCGAAGGCGGCACUCUGGGCCGAUUCUGACACUGAGGAGCGAAAGCGUGGGGAGCGAACAGGAUUAGAUACCCUGGUAGUCCACGCCGUAAACGUUGGGCACUAGGUGUGGGACUCUAUCGACGGGUUCCGUGCCGUAGCUAACGCAUUAAGUGCCCCGCCUGGGGAGUACGG
RNAcentral lists this ribosomal RNA (639 nucleotides) under uncultured Actinomycetes bacterium. RNAcentral describes it as "bacterial SSU rRNA". It matches the Rfam family "Bacterial small subunit ribosomal RNA", at positions 232 to 885 of the family's 1533-position model. Lineage: Bacteria; Bacillati; Actinomycetota; Actinomycetes. The record is from RNAcentral.